Molecule: transfer RNA, 263 nt
Filed under: Streptococcus parasanguinis
Lineage: Bacteria; Bacillati; Bacillota; Bacilli; Lactobacillales; Streptococcaceae
Description: partial 16S-23S ribosomal RNA intergenic spacer
Rfam family: tRNA (bases 54-126)
Source: RNAcentral
CUAAGGAAAAGGAAACCUGUACGUUGGUCUUGUUUAGUUUUGAAAGGUCUUGUGGGGCCUUAGCUCAGCUGGGAGAGCGCCUGCUUUGCACGCAGGAGGUCAGCGGUUCGAUCCCGCUAGGCUCCAUUAACACUGUAAGGGUGUUAAGAUUGAACAUUGAAAAUUGAAUAUCUAUAUCAAAUAGUAACAAGAAAAUAAACCGAAACGCUGUAAAUAUUUAAAGAGUUUAGGUCGCAAGACCAAAAAUAAGGUUAAGUUAAUAA